This 865-nucleotide long non-coding RNA is filed under the name Marmota monax (woodchuck). The record is from RNAcentral. Lineage: Eukaryota; Metazoa; Chordata; Mammalia; Rodentia; Sciuridae.
AUUUUGGUAUAUGUAAAGGCUGAGGACUUACUGUGUUAAUUUUCUACCUAGCCACCAGAUACCUUUUUUUAGUCUGUAAUAGUAUUUCAAUUAACUUAUUUGAGUUUUUUCAGCUACACAAUCAUGUCAUCUGCAACCACUGAUAAGUAACCUUUGUUCCAGUGUGCAUACUUUGUGUCUUGUUUGGAUUGUCUCAUACUUCUAGACUAAUGUUAAAUAACAAUGGCUAUAAUGAAAUGGGUUGAAAUACAUACAUUUAAUCAUAUUAAGGACUAUCCAUUGAUCCCAAUUUUAAACAGGUUUUAAGGCUGCAUGUUGAAUUUUAUCACGUCUUUUCAGCAGCUGUGGGGGUACUCAUCAUUCUCCUCCAGUCCUAAUAUGAUGAAUUUUGUUAAUAUAGUUUGUAAUAUUAAACCAUCCUCAUCCUUGCAUUCCUGAGAUAAACUCUACUUGGCCAUGUGUAUUUUUUAAUUUGUGGCAAGAUUAUGUUUACCAUUUUAUUUGAGAUAUUUGUAUUUGUCAGUGAAAUAAGUUUAUAGAUGUGUGUCUGUGUGUGCACAUGUUAUAUUUGAGAAAAUUGGUAUUAAUGUUAUCUAGUGGCAUAAAAUUCUCCUGCUUUGCUAUGAUUCAGAACAUUUUAAACAGCUUUGGCAUUUUCUGGUUCUUAAAAUUUCAGUGAAAUUAUCUAGUUUUGAUAGAUAGUUGGCAAAUAGCUCUUCAACAAAUCCUUGUUAUUUCCUGUGGUAAUUGGUCUAUGUAGUUUUUGUAUCUUAUCAGGAACCACCCUUUUCACCAUUUUCACCCAUUUCAUAUUUAUUUGGCUAUUGUUGAGCAAAGUUAUCCUCUGUAUAUGACUCUUUCCUCC